GAUCGGACCCACCAUUAAACAUCGGUGGAUUCAGCCUACGGAACCUCUCGUAAUAGGAUUCUAUCGGCUGUACAGGUUGGGCAGCUAACUGCAUCUGCUGCUGUUGCUCAAGCAGUUGUGCUAUUGACUGGUACACUCCUGCUAAAUCUGCCUGGGUUGCUAUGGAGUGUGGAGUAGUUUGUGAAAUUGAUUGGCUAUCAGGGUCCGGAGAAGGUGCCCUUAUUUCUCUUUCAUCCUCCAUGUUGCUUACGGCUACCUAGCAGUCAAGAAUUUAUGAUGAGUUUACAUAAAUUAUCUCUUAACAUAGUAAAAUAGCAAAAACCAUCAAAGAGAUCACAUAGUCAUAUCAUAAUAAAUCUGAGAAUCUACAAUAUUCACCUUCUCUUAUUAACACAAAUCUUCAUUAUUGAAAAAUCUAGUCUCCCAUCACAGUCAAUAUUUUUGACCAAUUUAAAUUGAUUCGAUCCACUAUACUUUCGCUACACAACUCUG
RNAcentral lists this long non-coding RNA (492 nucleotides) under Phoenix dactylifera (date palm). RNAcentral describes it as "long non-coding RNA (PDAC_LNC023053)". Lineage: Eukaryota; Viridiplantae; Streptophyta; Magnoliopsida; Arecales; Arecaceae. The record is from RNAcentral.